GUCUACAACUAUGCUACCCUGAACGUGCCCGAUCCCUUCUGAUCUCAGAAGCUAAGCAGGGUCAGACCUGGUUAGUACUUGCAUGGGAGACCACCUAGGAAGACCAGGUGCUGUAGGCG
Molecule: ribosomal RNA, 119 nt
Organism: Pteropus vampyrus (large flying fox)
Lineage: Eukaryota; Metazoa; Chordata; Mammalia; Chiroptera; Pteropodidae
Source: Ensembl